RNAcentral lists this long non-coding RNA (381 nucleotides) under Eucalyptus grandis. RNAcentral's name for it is "long non-coding RNA (EGRA_LNC005217)". The record is from RNAcentral. Lineage: Eukaryota; Viridiplantae; Streptophyta; Magnoliopsida; Myrtales; Myrtaceae.
UGCUUAAUUUCGCUAUACAUUUCUAUACAAUGACAAAACGCAUCGCUUGCUGAAGCUCAAGAAGACGUGGACGUGGACGCGGGUGUCCCCGACGACGGGUUGAAGGCGGCCUGCUCCCCGCAGCUGAGCACCUCGUGCGGGCCGGCCUCCUCGCGGCCAACGCCCAUCAGGUCAAGGUAGUACUGGUAGUGGGAGACCAUGUUGUUCAUGUGCUCGUCGUCGCCCUUGCCGCAGACGUCGUCGCCAUAGAGGAUGUUCAUGGUGGCACCGAACCCGGGGACCCGCUUGGCCAGGGUGUCGUUCUUCGUGGGCUUCCAGUUGCCGACGAACACGUCGUGGGCCGACGGCUGGUGCUUCUUGUCCGGUGUCAUCCACCGCCAG